Molecule: long non-coding RNA, 5727 nt
Filed under: Sorghum bicolor (sorghum)
Lineage: Eukaryota; Viridiplantae; Streptophyta; Magnoliopsida; Poales; Poaceae
Description: long non-coding RNA (SBIC_LNC008931)
Source: RNAcentral
CGAAGUUCGGAGUUGUCUAUCCGUUGUUUGCUAUCAAGGUUAUCUCUUUUAUAUUUAGUACAUUAUAUAUUUAUGCAUUGUCUUUUGAUAUUACCCCUUAUUUGUAGCUGUAUGUGAGAUUUGACUUCUAUGACUCACAUAUGGUGCAUAUCUGGUUUUGUCCUUGAAAUCGGGUAUUACACUUGUAGGCGCGCGUGCAGGAUCAGCCGCCCGUCUCCUUGUCUUCGGAACCCCAUUAUUGAUUAAGAUUCAGUUUGAAACCUUCAAUUCAUCUUGCAAAUUCAGUGCUUGUUUCCUCGUUCUUGCUAGUUCUUCGAUUGCUUGCAGGACGGGAGCCCUAGGGGCUGGUUGUCGCGCUCCCCAAGAUCGUGACGGCUACUGGACGUGGUGUAUCGGUUGCUAAGGCGCGGUCUUGAGGGCUGUAGUCGGGCCGUGAACGUCAUCUCCAUCCACCCCGUCUCUCAUCAAAAGAUCGGGCAAAAACCCUAGCGGGUUCGCAUCAGUUGGUAAUCAGAGCAAGGUUCUUCGGUGAGAGACUUCUAAUCCUUUGCUGUUUUUAAUUAAUUUCCUAUAGUCCAGAAAAGCCAAAAAAAAUAUAGUAGAUUAGUUUUUCCAUAAUCCUAUUAAACCUUUGUGCCUUGGCUAGUACCGUUUUAGUUAGGGCUUGUUGAAUUUGCGUUGCUUCGGUUUGUGUCGAGUUGCUGGUCUUAGUGUCUAGUCCUUUAGAGUUUCGAGUUCUUGUCACCAUCUAUACACAACCGAGUAUUACCAUAUCUUCUCUCUGUCGAAUCUGUUGCAAAGUCCGAAUUGAACUGUGGUCUUGGUCCGGAUCGAGUAGAGUUCCAAUCUGAGUUCAAAAAGAAAGAUAACUCCAUACUUGUUCGGCCUUACUCUAGAGAGAGAGAGUGUGUGUAGCGAAUUGCUCUUUUGUAUUCUUUUGUUCAUAUAAACAGUUUUUGAGGUUGCCCAAAAAAAAAGAAAAAAAAAGAAAAGAGAAAAGAUUCAAAAGAAAAAAAAAAGGGCUGUUUUUCAUAUUGACUUUAGGUUUGUUCCACCUUGUUUUCGGGGGUGUGCUGUGGUUUUCCUUUGUGUCCAGGCUCGCGUCUCUAGCACGGUCUAGCCUAGGACCAGCACAGUACCAUCGUCGAACGCUUAUUCAGCUCGCUUUUAUAACUAACGUGGUGCUAGUUCGUUCCUUGUUUCAGCCCACCUAUAGCUCCACAUACUCUACAGCUUGACAGGUCUUGUGCUGCAGCACCGGUACACUUCGUCCAUUGCUGUACACUUGUUGGCAGACGACCCCUCCUGUCAAGCAAGGUAAGAAUUGGUAAGAACUUGUGUUACAGGUUGAGUGUGAGCGACUUGCUGUAGCUACGUCCUAGUAGUUGUAGGGCUUUGUAACACCCUAAAUUUUGCUUCUUUGAAAAUAGAGCUAAAAUAAUUUAUUUUGUAUUUCUGUGCUCAUGAAAAUAUAGUAAAAUAAAAUUUUUCCUUAAAUUAAAAUUCAUCAUAGGGUUUAGCAACGUUGUUGUGCAUACAUGCUGGUACAUAUGUUUUAUGUGAUGUUUGUUUGUUGCUUCUUUGUGUAUUGAGACUAAGCAAAGUUUUUAAAAUUACGUUUAGUAGAACGAUCUUCCUUGGUCAGUACAUCUUUAUCUUUUAUCUACAACCAAAUUCUUUGUUUGUAAGCUAAAAUUUUUAUUAGGACCUUCCUAAAAUAUUUUCUUUGUCACUCAAAGCACUUCUUUUAGUUCCUCGUCCAUCAAGCACUCUCUACAAACUUUUCGGGAAUUUUUCCAUCUUCUGUUCUCACUUUUCUCUGAGCAUGAUCUAAUUUUUAGAUGCUCUAAACAAUCUUAUCAUGAGCUCCAAAAACUUUAUUCGGGUUCCCCAUAUUCUAUAGUAUCUCUGAGAAUUUUUCCCGAAUUUUCGGAGCUUUCAUAGUAUUUUUCGUGGCUUAACUACUAAUUCUGGACUUUUCUAGAAUUAUUUUAUCAAUAAAAUUAAUUAAAUUCAAAAUAAUAAAAUAUCUCUUUUUAAUGCUCAAUGUCUAUGUAAAAUAAUUCUUAUAAAUCUUAAAGAGCCAACACGAGAUUAAAAAAAACUAGGGUUUUAUUUCCUAGUCGUAGACAGCCGCCGCCGUCCGAAUCCAUCUAGAAAUCAAAGACAUGUUUUGCACCGUCGUAAUCCGUUCUGAUCUGAUUCAUGCGUUGCUGGUGCUCUGUCAACCGAGGAAGAAUCAAGGACGGGAUCCUUUUCUGUUCCAUGGUGCAAGCUGAAUUCAAGUCAAGUCCAUCGUGGUCUCCAAAAGGCUGCUGCGGUUCAGCGUUUGCAGGGAUUAAUCAGGUCUGCUGCUUUGUCCCCGUUACCGCUGUCGCUGUGUUCCAGGCUGUUGCCGUCUCGGUGGAGGUGCAGAGUGUCCAACGAUUGUCAUCCAGAGAGGUCACGGCAAGGUCACAAGCUGCUGCUGCUGCCGUGCCAGAAAAAUUUGGAUUUCGUUCCGUACAUGCGAAUUGGAGACGGUGCUUCUUUUGCCAUACGUGAGGAAGUGGAGUUUCUUUUGUUAAUUCUACUACACACUAAUCGAGAAGGUAAUUAAGAUUUGCAUUUUGCUGCUGUUCAACAGUAGCGAAGAAAAUUAGAUUUGAACCUUUUCCACUACGUGCACCCAAAUAAGGCUACUAGAAAAUUUAUUAUUCAGGCUAUGGAGAUGCGACUCGAUCGACACCGUUCUUUAUGGUUGCCUAUAGCCAUGCUGCUGCCUUCUCCUACAGAGCCGAUCUUGAGUCGGCUUUCGAUCUGUAGCUGGUGAGCACCUGCACGUUCGCAUUUUUUUUUGCUUGCACUUCUAUUCUGUACGUGCUUGUGAUAUACAAACUAUAUAGUAAUUUAAUUAAUAUAUUCUCGACAAGUUUAUCUAAUUAAAAACAAUAUAUUUUUAUACUCCGAUCCAAUGUUUAUAUAUAAAUAAACUUUAAUGUGAUUUAAUUGCUAUUAUCAAUAUGUUUCUAAAUUAUAAAUUAUUUAGUUGAACCACGUCAUAUACAAUUAUAGUAGAUGCUCUCACCUUUUAAUUUCUUUUGUAGGCUAGAGUUUGAAUGACUUAAAUAAAAAUAAGACAUAUUUAUAGAAAUAAAAUAUGACUAGAUUUAGCUCGGUUUCUGAUUAGAUUGUAUUCACGUGAUUUGGUUUAAUUAAAACAAAUCAAGCAACGUGUAGGCUUUUAUAUUCUUUUGUAUAUAAAAAUCUUUUGAUAGUCGUCUAUUUAUAGUGAUAGUUCUAUUAUUAGCGUUACUUGUUACCUUGUAACAUUAGCUAUCUAUUAGUACACUUGUUUACUCUGUGUGGUGUAUUGUUCUUAGUUGCUUUUGUUUGUUGCUUGUAUGUUUUUCUAUGCGUGGUGCUUGCUACGAGUAGACGAGAAUUGUUUGUUGGCACUGAAGACCAAAAGAUGGUGACCGAAAGCUGAUGGUGUGGGAACUAAGCAAUUGGAUUAAGGCAAGUAUAGCAUUUGGAUUUUAUUUCUGUGACCAUGAUCCUGUGACUAGAUUAAUGUUAAGUAAUAAAUGAUAAAAAUGACUUUUUAGCCACUUGAUGAUUUAUCUGUACGUGAUCACCUGGGACAACAGUGCAACCAUGAGGGCUAUAAUGGCUCUGGCUUUAGCUCAGUAUGAAGACCUUUUCUAGCUUGUUAGAGGUUACCCGAAAGGGCGGAGGGGCUGAACCGUUUUGGGUAUAGUGCGAGCCCCUGUCCUUAUGUGUAUAGGCUGCGCGUCAUUGUGCCAUUUGGAAGGGGGGUAUCUAUAUCUGCGCGCAAAGGAAACCUUGCGGCCCUAACAUGUUAGACGAACUUUUGAAAGGCUUCAUAGUGAUCCCUGCCGACCUUCCUUGGUAUUGGGUUAAGAGGCUGAUCACCUCGGGCGAAAGGGUAAAUCAUGACUCAUGGGUAAAGAUGUACAACCUCUGCAGAGUGUUAAAACUAGUAUACUAGCCGAGCUCACGGUCAGGAGCGGCCUUGGGGACAUCUACAUUAAGGGUGAUGAAUCUUGUGUGUUAAAUAUGCUCAUUGUUUAUUGUUUAAUGUUUUACAUUAUUUAUGUCACAUUGAUCAUGAGAUUGUGGGAGCUAUACAAUCUAGUUGCUAUACUUGUGGAGUUCGACAUGGACUCACUCUUGUUCUUUCCCCCAAACCUCAGGAGAAGUUUAGGCUUGUGAUCAACCAGUCAGUUGGAUCCUGUAGAGAGAAGUUAAUACCCGAAGUUCGGAGUUGUCUAUCCAUUGUUUGCUAUCAAGGUUAUCUCUUUUAUAUUAAGUACGUUAUAUAUUUAUGCAUUGUCUUUUGAUAUUACCCCUUAUUUGUAGCUGUAUGUGAGAUUUGACUUCUAUGACUCACAUAUGGUGCAUAUCUGGUUUUGUGCUUGAAAUCGGGUAUUACACUUGUAGGCGCGCGUGCAGGAUCAGCCGCCCGUCUCCUUGUCUUCGGAACCCCAUUAUUGAUUAAGAUUCAGUUUGAAACCUUCAAUUCAUCUUGCAAAUUCAGUGCUUGUUUCCUCGUUCUUGCUAGUUCUUCGAUUGCUUGCAGGACGGGAGCCCUAAGGGCUGGUUGUCGCGCUCCCCAAGAUCGUGACGGCUACUGGACGUGGUGUAUCGGUUGCUAAGGCGCGGUCUUGAGGGCUGUAGUCGGGCCGUGAACGUCAUCUCCAUCCACCAAUCGAGUUAUCCCCGUCUCUCAUCAAAAGAUCGGGCAAAAACCCUAGCGGGUUCGCAUCAGUUGGUAAUCAGAGCAAGGUUCUUCGGUGAGAGACUUCUAAUCCUUUGCUGUUUUUAAUUAAUUUCCUAUAGUCCAGAAAAGCCAAAAAAAAUAUAGUAGAUUAGUUUUUCCAUAAUCCUAUUAAACCUUUGUGCCUUGGCUAGUACCGUUUUAGUUAGGGCUUGUUGAAUUUGCGUUGCUUCGGUUUGUGUCGAGUUGCUGGUCUUAGUGUCUAGUCCUUUAGAGUUUCGAGUUCUUGUCACCAUCUAUACACAACCGAGUAUUACCAUAUCUUCUCUCUGUCGAAUCUGUUGCAAAGUCCGAAUUGAACUGUGGUCUUGGUCCGGAUCGAGUAGAGUUCCAAUCUGAGUUCAAAAAGAAAGAUAACUCCAUACUUGUUCGGCCUUACUCUAGAGAGAGAGAGAGUGUGUAGCGAAUUGCUCUUUUGUAUUCUUUUGUUCAUAUAAACAGUUUUUGAGGUUGCCCAAAAAAAAGAAAAAAAAAAGAAAAGAGAAAAGAUUCAAAAGAAAAAAAAGGGGCUGUUUUUCAUAUUGACUUUAGGUUUGUUCCACCUUGUUUUCGGGGGUGUGCUGUGGUUUUCCUUUGUGUCCAGGCUCGCGUCUCUAGCACGGUCUAGCCUAGGACCAGCACAGUACCAUCGUCGAACGCUUAUUCAGCUCGCUUUUAUAACUAACGUGGUGCUAGUUCGUUCCUUGUUUCAGCCCACCUAUAGCUCCACAUACUCUACAGCUUGACAGGUCUUGUGCUGCAGCACCGGUACACUUCGUCCAUUGCUGUACACUUGUUGGCAGACGACCCCUCCUGUCAAGCAAGGUAAGAAUUGGUAAGAACUUGUGUUACAGGUUGAGUGUGAGCGACUUGCUGUAGCUACGUCCUAGUAGUUGUAGGGCUUUGUAACACCCUAAAUUUUGCUUCUUUGAAAAUAGAGCUAAAAUAAUUUAUUUUGUAUUUCUGUG